Molecule: small nucleolar RNA, 142 nt
Organism: Dichanthelium oligosanthes
Lineage: Eukaryota; Viridiplantae; Streptophyta; Magnoliopsida; Poales; Poaceae
Rfam family: Small nucleolar RNA Z247
About the family: Z247 is a member of the C/D class of snoRNA which contain the C (UGAUGA) and D (CUGA) box motifs. Most of the members of the box C/D family function in directing site-specific 2'-O-methylation of substrate RNAs.
Source: Rfam
UCUCUGGGCGAUGAGGAGUUCGUCGCCUACGUCCUCACCGGCCUUGAUGAAGAAAUCUACAACCCGCUUGUGUCGUCCAUCGUCACUCGCGUCGAGCCAAUCUCCCCUGCUGAGUUAUACUCGCAGAUGCUUAGCUAUGAGC